UCUUUUAAAUUAAAAAUAAUAGUAAAUUUAAUUAAAAUAUUUCUUUCUUAUAAAAAGUGUUUUACUUUUAGUUUUUAAAAGAAACUAAUAAUUAUAAAAUAUAUUAUUUUUCGAAACAUAUAUAAAAUCUACUUUGUAUUUUUUUGUAUUAAAAAGUAAAUUUUGAAUAUUUUAAAAUAA
This 180-nucleotide transfer RNA is filed under the name Pneumocystis jirovecii. RNAcentral's name for it is "tRNA-Pseudo(AAA)". Lineage: Eukaryota; Fungi; Ascomycota; Pneumocystomycetes; Pneumocystales; Pneumocystaceae. The record is from RNAcentral.